UACGGGGGGGGCAAGCGUUGUUCGGAAUUACUGGGCGUAAAGGGCUCGUAGGUGGCCAACUAAGUCAGACGUGAAAUCCCUCGGCUUAACCGGGGAACUGCGUCUGAUACUGGAUGGCUUGAGUUCGGGAGAGGGAUGCGGAAUUCCAGGUGUAGCGGUGAAAUGCGUAGAUAUCUGGAGGAACACCGGUGGCGAAGGCGGCAUCCUGGACCGGCAUUGACGCUGAGGCGCGAAAGCCAGGGGGGCAAACGGG
RNAcentral lists this ribosomal RNA (253 nucleotides) under uncultured bacterium. Its description in RNAcentral is "partial 16S ribosomal RNA". It matches the Rfam family "Bacterial small subunit ribosomal RNA", at positions 524 to 776 of the family's 1533-position model. The record is from RNAcentral.